CCUACGGGAGGCAGCAGUGGGGAAUUUUGGACAAUGGGCGAAAGCCUGAUCCAGCAAUGCCGCGUGUGUGAUGAAGGCCUUCGGGUUGUAAAGCACUUUUGGCGGGAACGAAAGGGACUGUGCCAAUACCACGGUUCGAUGACGGUACCCGCAGAAUAAGCACCGGCUAACUACGUGCCAGCAGCCGCGGUAAUACGUAGGGUGCAAGCGUUAAUCGGAAUUACUGGGCGUAAAGAGUGCGCAGGCGGUUUUGCAAGACCGAUGUGAAAUCCCCGGGCUUAACCUGGGAACUGCAUUGGUGACUGCAAGGCUAGAGUGUGUCAGAGGGAGGUGGAAUUCCGCAUGUAGCAGUGAAAUGCGUAGAUAUGCGGAGGAACACCGAUGGCGAAGGCAGCCUCCUGGGAUAACACUGACGCUCAUGCACGAAAGCGUGGGGAGCAAACAGGAUUAGAUACCCUGGUAGUCCACGCCCUAAACGAUGUCUACUAGUUGUCGGGGAUUAAUUUCCUUGGUAACGCAGCUAACGCGUGAAGUAGACCGCCUGGGGAGUACGGUCGCAAGAUUAAAACUCAAAGGAAUUGACGG
Molecule: ribosomal RNA, 585 nt
Filed under: uncultured bacterium
Lineage: Bacteria
Description: bacterial SSU rRNA
Rfam family: Bacterial small subunit ribosomal RNA
Source: RNAcentral